RNAcentral lists this ribosomal RNA (223 nucleotides) under uncultured prokaryote. RNAcentral's name for it is "partial 16S ribosomal RNA". It matches the Rfam family "Bacterial small subunit ribosomal RNA", at positions 524 to 745 of the family's 1533-position model. The record is from RNAcentral.
UACGAAGGUCCCGAGCGUUGUUCGGAAUCACUGGGCGUAAAGGGAGCGUAGGCGGCGUGGUAAGUCAGACGUGAAAUCCCGGGGCUCAACCCCGGAACUGCGUCCGAUACUGCCGUGCUUUGAGGGUUGGAGAGGUAGCUGGAAUUCUUGGUGUAGCAGUGAAAUGCGUAGAUAUCGAGAGGAACACCUGCGGCGAAGGCGGGUUGCUGGGCUGACACUGACG